AUAAUUUAUGAAGGGGAUGGAAUCCAGAUUCACUUGACUUGAUGAUGUAAUUCUAUUUACAGAUGUGGAAAAUUAGUCAUUGUAAUAGUGUACUAGUGUUGUGUGGCAGCUAAUAGACUAAACUGUGAACAAAGGAUUCCCUAGCUAAAAUCUCAGCUUUGCUACCACUUGUUAGCAUCAGGAAAGAUACAACUGGCAAUAGGAGCAAUAAUACUUAUCUGCUAUAUCAUGUUGUUUUAAAGAUGCACUCUGAAUGUAUAUAGUUAAUGUUAUUCUAACAGUUGAAGUAUGUAUGAAAACAUUAUAUUUCUGUAAUUUCUUAAAAUUAAAUAUACAUUUUUCAUCUUUGGGAAAAGUAACUAAAUAAAAAGCUCAUUGGUUUGACCCACACUUGCACUCAUCAGAGUUCUAUUUGUGGUGGUCUAAAGGAGGCGAUGUGAGAACUUUCUCUAAUUCCUUCUUCCUUUGCAGGCUCCAGAAUCACAUCCUACCCCAUGGUUUCUGAAUCAGGUUUCUCCAGAACCCUAGGGUUCAACAAUGAGUGGGGAAAAAAUAGUGCAAGAAUUCUAGUUCCCUCCAUAAAUUGAAGACAGUCGUCUCUUUCUAGAGUGGAAUCUGAUACAGGGGGAUGUUGUAUCCAGCCUCAAAUUACAGGGAGAGAUGCCUGCCAUAGAUUUGGGCGAAACAUCAGGAGAGAAUACUUCUAGAACAUGACCAUACAGCCCGGAAAACAUACAACAACCCUGUGAUCCCGGCCAUGAAAGCCUUUGACAACAUAUCUAAAAUGCGUUGGUGGAGUAUAAGAACCCCAGAAUAUGCAACCAAAUGAAAGGAGAGUCUUUUGCUGGAAGUCAGUUUAAAGUAUCCUGUAAGUAUUGUACCUUUUCUUUAGUAACUAGAAUUGGGAUUGUUAGUUAUGGAAAGAUCUCAAUCUGGACAAAUGCAAAGUCAUUUUUUCAUUGGGAUGCAAGUGUAUUGAAUUGGAGCAUGCUGCUAAGGACAUUUGUUCUUUUAUUGUUGUCUGGAGUACAAUAUUUUAUUGCUCAUCCUCUUAGUAAUGAUAGACUUCUUAUCACCUUAUCACACAGAGCGGAAGAAGCAUCUUAGGAUGCUUCUGCCCCAGUUCACCCAUGAACCCCCACGCCACCCAUCAAAUGAUGUAGGGUGACUACCGGUGGGGCUCCAUGGGCAAACUGGAGUGGCAGCAUGGUGGGAAGCUGCUGCCCUGUGUUCAGUUAGGAGUGACAAUGCUUUCCCACAUGGGAUGGGAAAGCAUCAUUUGACGGCCAGGGCACCAGAAUUGCCCUGCUGCCACCCAGAUCGUCACAGAGACUGGCGAAUUACGAUGCUGGACCUCAUCAAUGUGAUGAGGUUGUUAGUGUGAGCAUACUGAUGAAGUUAUUGAAACAAAACAUUAUGUUGUUUCAUUUCUUUUUGUUAUUGUUUUUCAUUGACUUUAACUUAUUCUGUCUUAUACCCAUAUAAAUUGCAUUUGUAAAUGUGAUUUUUGCAUUAUAUUUUUGUGUGUGUUGGACUUUUAUAUAGGUAUUAAGAUAGAAGCACUUUUAUAUAGGUAUUAAGAUAGAAGAGGGAGGGGGAGGGGCGAAAAACUACUGGACAUAAAUGGGAGAUAAAAGUGGAACUAACAAGUGUAAUGUUACCGAGAAUAUGUGAUUGGAUGUGUAUGUUGAUGGAUUUUGUUGUUGUUUCGCUGGUAUCUACAAUAAAAAACACAUUAAAAAAAAGAUAGAAGCACUAAAGAUUAAUCUGCAGAUAUUAUUAAUCUUUGGUCUGUGCUAUAUUUUGUAUAUUUAUUGAUAUGUUUUAAGCACAUUAAUCACUUGUAGGAUCAUCAAUGUUACACUACCUUAUUAAUUAACACUGACUAUUGUAGUUAGCAGUGUGUACUGUUAGGG
Anolis carolinensis (green anole) is the source of this 1916-nucleotide long non-coding RNA. RefSeq lists it as uncharacterized. The record is from RefSeq and is a predicted model, not a curated record. Lineage: Eukaryota; Metazoa; Chordata; Lepidosauria; Squamata; Anolidae. The transcript is spliced from 3 exons.